This 77-nucleotide transfer RNA is filed under the name Candidatus Aquitaenariimonas noxiae. RNAcentral's name for it is "Candidatus Omnitrophica bacterium CG07_land_8_20_14_0_80_42_15 tRNA-Ile". It matches the Rfam family "tRNA". From Rfam's summary of the family: Transfer RNA (tRNA) molecules are approximately 80 nucleotides in length. The record is from RNAcentral. Lineage: Bacteria; Pseudomonadati; Candidatus Omnitrophota.
GGGCCUAUAGCUCAGCUGGUUAGAGCGCCGUGCUGAUAACGCGGAGGUGCCUGGUUCGAUUCCAGGUGGGCCCACCA